UUUAUUAAUAAUUUUCCAUCGGAUUUUGCAAUAGCUCUUGUUUUGUAAAGGUCACAUUUACCGAUAACCAUGGGAUAUUUUAUAUAAACUACAAGUAAAUCAUUAUUAAAUAAAAUUUUAAAAGUUGAUGUGUCCAUUAGGUCAGAAAUACUACAGAUUGUUUUUCAUGAUUGUAAAUUUCUUUAAUUUCUCGUUUAAAAUUUUUGUUUUAAAAAUUUUUGCUUUUGCUAAGAUAAUAGUAUCUAAUAAAUUUUGUAAGUCAAAUGUGAGUAACCGCAAACGAUGUUUUCGUAAAAUUGUUUCCUCGUUGAAAACUACAUUUUUUAAACUUUCAGUAAGAUAUUUUACUUCAUUAAAUAAUUUUGAAUUUAUUGUGAAUUGCUUGUUGUUGUUUUCAAUUAGGCUGUCUAUUUUGUUCUAAACCGUUAUGAAAUCAUCAUGAUCAAGGAGUACCUGCUAUCCAUUUCCAUAAAGUUCCUAUUUCAUUAAUUCCUCUUUUUUGUCUUUUGUUACGGAACUGCAUCUUUCCCGGAGGGCAGCGCCGGCUAGCCACGGAGUCCCAGGGCGGAGUACCCCCUAUGCCCUGCAGUCCGAACAAUCGAUUCCGACUCAUCGGACGUCUCACGUCGAUUUACCAUCCCUAGCACAAAUCAAAACAAAACAAAAUUAUAUUUACAUUAAGCAACUAAGACAAUUCGACGAAAUUGGUGGCUUCGAUGUCCUUGCCACGACGCACCCACCCAACCUUGGGUGCCCCAAGAGAGAUGUGGGAGGCACACCCCAUCUCCGGCAGACCGGAGUCUAUUCCUGGUGGAUUAGGAUCGGCUCAUCUCCCCGCCCAAGGUAAUUCACACAACCAUCUCGGUAGCUUGUUCACAUUUAAUUCUUGAAACUUUAAGGCCGAUCUCAGAGCGUCGCCCAGAUGAGAAGCGGUCAAAGCGGAAACAACCGAAAGGGAAAUUUUUAGACGCUUAAAGUUCCAAGUGUCAGGCAAAGUCGCCGCACGGCACCAAAUUUGGAGGCGUUUGCCAGCCGGGUCGCCUAAUCCUGAGGAGCUCCAAGGGAAAAGAAGGGACGUGCUAAUAAGGUAAGUACGCUAAACAAAUCCCACAAGUCAUUAAAUUUCGCGACCCAAUUUAAAUGUAGUUGGACGCGGGCUAGGGUUCGGGCUUGAGCCUCUAAAUCUAGAUUAGAUUUCACAAGUUCAACGUCGGAUGUGUUGAAACUGCAGCAGAAAAAAACGCUGACGGCGAAAACCAGCGCGAGUCCGCACGGAGCCAGUUGGUCCGGAGGAUAGCGCAGCGUAGCCGGAGGCAGUGCGUCGGUGGACUUGGAGAUGACCACGUGGCCAGCGCGGGCAUUCGUUCCCGGAACGGACUCACCGAGGGAAUCUCCGUAUCUGGCCGUCUUGGCGGCUGUCGCUGUAGCUGCUGGCGCUUGAGGCUGCUGUUGCUGCUACUGAUCGCUGCUGCUGCGGCUAAUGCU
Long non-coding RNA from Drosophila elegans, 1485 nucleotides. RefSeq lists it as uncharacterized. The transcript has 3 exons. NCBI's taxonomy places the organism in Eukaryota, Metazoa, Arthropoda, Insecta, Diptera, Drosophilidae. The record is from RefSeq and is a predicted model, not a curated record.